RNAcentral lists this ribosomal RNA (497 nucleotides) under uncultured bacterium. RNAcentral describes it as "partial 16S ribosomal RNA". It matches the Rfam family "Bacterial small subunit ribosomal RNA", at positions 28 to 507 of the family's 1533-position model. The record is from RNAcentral.
GAUGAACGCUGGCGGCGUGCCUAAUACAUGCAAGUCGAGCGAACAGACGAGGAGCUUGCUCCUUUGACGUUAGCCGCGGACGGGUGAGUAACACGUGGAAAAUCUACCUAUAAGACUGGGAUAACUUCGGGAAACCGGCGCUAAUACCGGAUAAACUGUUGAACCGCAUGGUUCAACAGUGAAAGACGGUCUUUCUGUCUCUUAUAGCUGGAUCGGCGCCGCAUUCGCUAGUUGGUAAGGUAACGGCUUAUCAAGGCAACGAUGCGUAGCCGACCUCAGAGGGUGAUAGGCCGCACUGGAGCUGAGACGCGGUCCAUGGUCCUACGGUAGGCAGCAGUAGGGAAUCUUCCGCAAUAGUCGAGAGCCUUACGGAGCAACGCCGCGUGAGUGAAGAAGGUCUUCGGAUCGGAAAACUCGGUUAUGAGUUAAGAACAAAUGUGGAAGUAACUAUGCACGUCGUGACGGUAACUAAUCAGAAAGCCACGGCUAACUACGUG